GGGCCUGUAGCUCAGUUGGUUAGAGCACACCUCUGAUAAGGGUGGGGUCCGUGGUUCGAGUCCACGCAGGCCCA
Molecule: transfer RNA, 74 nt
Filed under: Candidatus Acetothermia bacterium
Lineage: Bacteria; Candidatus Bipolaricaulota
Also listed under: 1 other name
Description: tRNA-Ile
Rfam family: tRNA
About the family: Transfer RNA (tRNA) molecules are approximately 80 nucleotides in length. Their secondary structure includes four short double-helical elements and three loops (D, anti-codon, and T loops). Further hydrogen bonds mediate the characteristic L-shaped molecular structure. tRNAs have two regions of fundamental functional importance: the anti-codon, which is responsible for specific mRNA codon recognition, and the 3' end, to which the tRNAs corresponding amino acid is attached (by aminoacyl-tRNA synthetases). tRNAs cope with the degeneracy of the genetic code in two manners: having more than one tRNA (with a specific anti-codon) for a particular amino acid; and 'wobble' base-pairing, i.e. permitting non-standard base-pairing at the 3rd anti-codon position.
Source: RNAcentral